CCUAACACAUGCAAGUCGAGCGGUAGCACAGAGAGCUUGCUCUCGGGUGACGAGCGGCGGACGGGUGAGUAAUGUCUGGGAAACUGCCUGAUGGAGGGGGAUAACUACUGGAAACGGUAGCUAAUACCGCAUAACGUCGCAAGACCAAAGUGGGGGACCUUCGGGCCUCAUGCCAUCAGAUGUGCCCAGAUGGGAUUAGCUAGUAGGUGGGGUAACGGCUCACCUAGGCGACGAUCCCUAGCUGGUCUGAGAGGAUGACCAGCCACACUGGAACUGAGACACGGUCCAGACUCCUACGGGAGGCAGCAGUGGGGAAUAUUGCACAAUGGGCGCAAGCCUGAUGCAGCCAUGCCGCGUGUGUGAAGAAGGCCUUCGGGUUGUAAAGCACUUUCAGCGGGGAGGAAGGCGUUAAGGUUAAUAACCUUAGCGAUUGACGUUACCCGCAGAAGAAGCACCGGCUAACUCCGUGCCAGCAGCCGCGGUAAUACGGAGGGUGCAAGCGUUAAUCGGAAUUACUGGGCGUAAAGCGCACGCAGGCGGUCUGUCAAGUCGGAUGUGAAAUCCCCGGGCUCAACCUGGGAACUGCAUUCGAAACUGGCAGGCUAGAGUCUUGUAGAGGGGGGUAGAAUUCCAGGUGUAGCGGUGAAAUGCGUAGAGAUCUGGAGGAAUACCGGUGGCGAAGGCGGCCCCCUGGACAAAGACUGACGCUCAGGUGCGAAAGCGUGGGGAGCAAACAGGAUUAGAUACCCUGGUAGUCCACGCCGUAAACGAUGUCGAUUUGGAGGUUGUGCCCUUGAGGCGUGGCUUCCGGAGCUAACGCGUUAAAUCGACCGCCUGGGGAGUACGGCCGCAAGGUUAAAACUCAAAUGAAUUGACGGGGGCCCGCACAAGCGGUGGAGCAUGUGGUUUAAUUCGAUGCAACGCGAAGAACCUUACCUGGUCUUGACAUCCACAGAACUUAGCAGAGAUGCUUUGGUGCCUUCGGGAACUGUGAGACAGGUGCUGCAUGGCUGUCGUCAGCUCGUGUUGUGAAAUGUUGGGUUAAGUCCCGCAACGAGCGCAACCCUUAUCCUUUGUUGCCAGCGGUUAGGCCGGGAACUCAAAGGAGACUGCCAGUGAUAAACUGGAGGAAGGUGGGGAUGACGUCAAGUCAUCAUGGCCCUUACGACCAGGGCUACACACGUGCUACAAUGGCAUAUACAAAGAGAAGCGACCUCGCGAGAGCAAGCGGACCUCAUAAAGUAUGUCGUAGUCCGGAUUGGAGUCUGCAACUCGACUCCAUGAAGUCGGAAUCGCUAGUAAUCGUAGAUCAGAAUGCUACGGUGAAUACGUUCCCGGGCCUUGUACACACCGCCCGUCACACCAUGGGAGUGGGUUGCAAAAGAAGUAGGUAGCUUAACCUUCGGGAGGGCGCUUACCACUUUGUGAUUCAUGACUGGGGUGAAGUCGUA
RNAcentral lists this ribosomal RNA (1451 nucleotides) under Klebsiella sp. CMC-NA98. RNAcentral's name for it is "bacterial SSU rRNA". It matches the Rfam family "Bacterial small subunit ribosomal RNA". The record is from RNAcentral. Lineage: Bacteria; Pseudomonadati; Pseudomonadota; Gammaproteobacteria; Enterobacterales; Enterobacteriaceae.